UACGUAGGGGCCAAGCGUUGUCCGGAUUUAUUGGGCGUAAAGAGCUCGUAGGCGGUUUGGUAAGUCGGGUGUGAAAUCUCCACGCUCAACGUGGAGGGGCCACUCGAUACUGCCAUGACUCGAGUCCGGAAGAGGCGAGUGGAAUUCCUGGUGUAGCGGUGAAAUGCGCAGAUAUCAGGAGGAACACCAAUGGCGAAGGCAGCUCGCUGGGACGGUACUGACGCUGAGACGCGAAAGCGUGGGGAGCAAACAGG
Molecule: ribosomal RNA, 254 nt
Filed under: uncultured bacterium
Lineage: Bacteria
Description: partial 16S ribosomal RNA
Rfam family: Bacterial small subunit ribosomal RNA
Source: RNAcentral